UGGGGAAUUUUGGACAAUGGGCGAAAGCCUGAUCCAGCAAUGCCGCGUGUGUGAAGAAGGCCUUCGGGUUGUAAAGCACUUUUGUCCGGAAAGAAAUCCUUGGCUCUAAUACAGUCGGGGGAUGACGGUACCGGAAGAAUAAGCACCGGCUAACUACGUGCCAGCAGCCGCGGUAAUACGUAGGAUGCAAGCGUUAAUCGGAAUUACUGGGCGUAAAGCGUGCGCAGGCGGUUUGCUAAGACCGAUGUGAAAUCCCCGGGCUCAACCUGGGAACUGCAUUGGUGACUGGCAGGCUAGAGUAUGGCAGAGGGGGGUAGAAUUCCCACGUGUAGCAGUGAAAUGCGUAGAGAUGUGGAGGAAUACCGAUGGCGAAGGCAGCCCCCCUGGGCCAAUAUGACGCUCAUGCACGAAAGCGU
RNAcentral lists this ribosomal RNA (416 nucleotides) under uncultured bacterium. RNAcentral's name for it is "partial 16S ribosomal RNA". It matches the Rfam family "Bacterial small subunit ribosomal RNA", at positions 355 to 762 of the family's 1533-position model. The record is from RNAcentral.